Molecule: long non-coding RNA, 288 nt
Organism: Anguilla anguilla (European eel)
Lineage: Eukaryota; Metazoa; Chordata; Actinopteri; Anguilliformes; Anguillidae
Exons: 3
Source: RefSeq, a predicted model, not a curated record
CACCAACAACACCGUCCCCAGUGAGAGUGAUGUUCUGGCAAAGGGCAGUCCUUUCUUGAAUGGUGAUGAAAUCCGGUUGAAUGAUACCGUGAGGGUGCAGAAUCUCACAUAUGAGCGAUUAUCAGAUAAUUCCUUCGCUUUGACACUGGCCUACAAGAUCAAUGACGUGAGCUUUCCAGAGAAUGUUGAACUCAGGACAGAGACGCAAGCACGCAUUCAGGACUCUGUCAACAACUUGCUGAAUGGAUUGCUGAACCAACCUAAUGCAAGUCCUUUUACCUUCCCACA